GCUUUGAACUAAAGUGUGAGUUUGGGGCUUUAUUCCACUUCUGGUGGUGGUAGGGUGCUGGCAGUUUAGGUAACAAUGUUUCCAUCUCCACCCCCGGCAGUGUAUAUGAUCCGCCUGGGCACGCUGGAACAGGAGGCCA
Canis lupus familiaris (dog) is the source of this 139-nucleotide non-coding RNA. Lineage: Eukaryota; Metazoa; Chordata; Mammalia; Carnivora; Canidae. The record is from RefSeq and is marked provisional.